Molecule: small RNA, 310 nt
Filed under: Oryza sativa Japonica Group (Japanese rice)
Lineage: Eukaryota; Viridiplantae; Streptophyta; Magnoliopsida; Poales; Poaceae
Description: sRNA Os05g0296600
Source: RNAcentral
GGAGAUCUGAUCCGAUCUCGGUCAGUUCGAUCAAGAAUUGCAAAAUAAAGAAUGCAAGAGAGGUCAUCCAUCCAAUCCAAUCAUCCAUGUGUUGGCUCUGUAUGAUCCUGUCUCUCCCAUCUGCUGGUGGUGUUCAUAUUAUUGUUGCUCCAGUCGAUUGUGUCCAUGUGUAUAUGGUGACUUUUAAUCAUCGCUUAAUUUAGUUGUGGUCAAUUAAUUGGUCAUGGAUUAUGAUGCAUGAUUCAAAACCUGAAUUUAUCUCAUGUGUGAAUAAAAUGGAGAAGGGAACUAUUCUUCUUCACUUGUUGGU